This is a non-coding RNA of Ictidomys tridecemlineatus (thirteen-lined ground squirrel), 1880 nucleotides long. The record is from RefSeq and is a predicted model, not a curated record. NCBI's taxonomy places the organism in Eukaryota, Metazoa, Chordata, Mammalia, Rodentia, Sciuridae.
UGCCAGGGCUUGCUUUGCCUGCAGUGUCAGAGAGACAGAGGGUCUGCAAAUUGGUGUCCUCCCUGGGGCAGCCUGUGGCCAAAGAUGGACGGAUGCAUGGAUGUAAAUGGUCCAGCUCCUCAGCCUCUGAUUGGAUCGACUCCAGGGUACAAGUACACUCUCCAGAGGGUCCCAUGUGGCAUCCGCCAAUGGAACAUGUUUAUGUGAUAGGAUGUUAUGGUUCAGAUGAUGAGGUGGCCCCCCAAAGUGCAUGUGAGAGACGAUGCAGGAUGUUCAGAGGUGACAUGGUUAGACCAUGAGAGAGAGAACGGGAUCAGAGGAUCCAUCCACUGCUAUGGAUUAGCCAGGCAGGAAUUGUAGGCAGUAGUGGGUGGCUGGAGGGGGGAGGUCACAUACCUCUGGGGUUUAUAUUUUGUCCCUGGUGAGUGGAGCUCUCUCUCUGCUUCCUGGUGGCCAGGUCCUUAGCUGCUUUCCUCUGCGAUGUGCCUCCACCAUGAUGUUCUGCCUCGACUUGGGCUCAGAGCCGUGGAGUUGGCUGAUUGUGGACUGAACCUCUGAAACCAGGAACCAAACUAUACCAUUCCUCCUCUCUGUUGUUCUUGUCAGGUCUUUUGGUCCCAGUGAAGAAAAAGCUGACUAUAACACAGGUGGUACUUGAAAAGAGGGCCCAAAAGUACCUCCCAUCCUCCACGCUCUUCACCAUGCAACUCUGCUAUGUGCCCAUCAAGAUUUGGAGCUAAUCAAAACAAAUUAAAAAAAAAUAAAGGGAAAAAAAUGAUUUGGAGCUAACCUCCUCCCCCGCCUUGAAUCUGGACUGACCAACCGUUUGUGUGAAGAGAAUGGAGGUGAAUCAAGGGAGCUUUACUACUAGCUUCUGAAACAGAUUCUCAUUUGAGGCAGCUUCUGACCUCCUCUGGCCUGGAGUGGGGGCUGGAGAGAGGAGCUAUUAGGAACCGGAUGGAAGAGCAGAGACACUUCCGCCAUCAUUAAAGAAACCUCAAUCACAGGGAAAGAUGCAGCAGAGACGGAGGAAGAAAGAGGAGGCCAGGCCAGGCCGUGGGGCCAGAGCUCUUGAGGUUGCUCUGGGGCCAGCCAUCUCAUCCGGGGAUUGCUGGUUCAUGGGAUUGUUGCUGGGCCUCGGGGACUCCUGGCCCUGGUGAACUGCAGCCCCAGGGGACGUGCUCCAGCAGGGGACUGUGCCAGGCCACUCCACCAGCAUUGCUCAGAUACACCGGGCCAGAGGGAGACGCAGGAAAAAUGGAUUUAAUAGCAUGCUUGCAAAAGAUCCAUGGGAGUUGAAGGGUGAUGCAGGCAGAUGUAAAGAAAAAUUCAUAUUCUACACAAAAGAAUCAAUGGUCAAAAAUAAAUCUGUAUUCCGCUUCAACUCCCAGAUCUGCAAUUACGGAAGCAGCGUCUUCCUGAGAUCCGCUGUGGGUGUGGACUCGUACGUGGGCAGGCGACAUACCUUCUCUGCCACAUGUCUCCUGUAUUGGUCAGUGUGCCUUCCCUACUGUUGUGCUGUGGCGCUGGAUCAGCUGAAAGGGGCCACUGUUAGAUUUUCAGGAGCUUUAUGAGCUGGUUAUUAGUGCCAUUAUUAAAAAUGAAGUUCUAUGACCUUUCAGUCCAUUCAGUUUUAUUAAAAGCAAGUUUCUGGUCAAAACUUGUGGCUUCUUUAUUGCUUUCCCACACCUUACCAUUAUGUAUGUUCUUGAGGUUUAUUAAGAUUUCUGACUAUUACAGCUAUGCGACAUCUGUAGCUUGGAAAUACCACAGAGUGGUGUGCCCUUUGAACUUCAAGCUCCAUAUACGAUGAGGACAUAUUUGUGGCUUAAGGUGGGUCAGGGCCGGAGUAUUUACACUUUGGAAAUCGGCCAGGGCUA